GACGAACGCUGGCGGCGUGCUUAAUACAUGCAAGUCGAACGGACAGGCCCUGCUUUUGUUCGUUUCUCGAUAGGCGAACGGGUGAGUAACACGCGUGUAUCCCCUCCUUGACUUUCGGAUAUCUUCUGGAAACUCCGGCUAUUACCGGAUAUGAGCUCCUGCUGCAUGUUGUGCGUCGGAGAGUUUCGGCGGUUGUGUCUGGACUCGCUGCUUAUCCGCUGGUUUGUGGGGUAGUGGCUUACCAAGGCUUUGACGGGUAGCCGGCCUGAGAGGGUGACCGGCCACAUUGGGACUGAGAGACGGACCAGACUCCUACGGGAGGCAGCAGUGGGGAAUAUUGCACAAUGGGCGGAAGCCUGAGGCAGAAACGCCGCGUGCGGGAUGACGGCCUUCGGGUUGUAAACAGCUUUCGACUGUGACGAAGCGGGAGUGACGGUAAUGGGUAAAGAAGCAACGGCUAACUACGUG
This 468-nucleotide ribosomal RNA is filed under the name uncultured bacterium. RNAcentral's name for it is "partial 16S ribosomal RNA". It matches the Rfam family "Bacterial small subunit ribosomal RNA", at positions 28 to 507 of the family's 1533-position model. The record is from RNAcentral.